Megalobrama amblycephala (Wuchang bream) is the source of this 2207-nucleotide long non-coding RNA. RefSeq lists it as uncharacterized. The record is from RefSeq and is a predicted model, not a curated record. The transcript has 4 exons. Lineage: Eukaryota; Metazoa; Chordata; Actinopteri; Cypriniformes; Xenocyprididae.
GACAUCAUUAUUUAAUAGAAUUCAAACUGGUUCGAAUUCCUAUUUCCGGCCCUUUAAAUUUAAAAGUAGGCGCGCGGAAAAGGCGCCUAAACAGCAGAGAGGAUCGGCUGGAGAAUUGACGGUUGAAAACUGCACAAAGUAAAGUCAAGAUCCUCCUGCUGUAAAAACCAGCAUUGACCAGCAUGAAUUCCCUUUCACUCACUGUUUCCCAACCUGCAGUCGGUUCAGCACGAAACAUCAGGCUCACAGCAACAGAUUAAGAAGAAUCCUGCAUCAAAAGAUGACUUCAACUUGCAUGUGAGACAGAGUGAGAAGAGAAAAAGAGGAAUGAAGAUGGACUGUCUAAGAAACCUGUUUUGUUCAUAACGGAACUUGCAUCUAUCUCCCACGAAUGUAGAAUGCUGAAGGCGAGCAGAAAUGAGAAAAGUUAUGCUACAGCUCUCUGUUUGCAGCACGUCAGUCACGCUCGUCGGGAAAGUGAGUGAAACACACACACAAACACACAUUUUUAUCAAAUAAUACGGCAUUAAUAGCGGUUCACUUCCACAACUUGGAGCGUUUGCAUUUAUAUCAGAAGCGAACUGUACCUGAGUUCACUUGAACCGCACCCCAGACCACCCUUUUUAAGCGGACUCGGGUACGGUUCGUGGGUGUCCGCAGUUACACACAGCACACAGUUACUCCUCGUGUUUGCUGGAUAAUGAUAUAAUGAUAUUAUAUUUAAUCCUCCAAAAUCACUGUGCAAUAAUGAGUGUGUUAAGUGAAUAAAUGUAAACUCUAUGAAUGAAAUGAGCGCAAAUCAAAUAGCUGUAUUGCUGUUGCCUCUCCAUGUGCCACAAAUCAGCUUGGAAAGAAUAAAUCAACUGAAAUACUUAGUGCUUUUUCCAGUUUAACGCAUUAAAAUAUUUAACACAGUUAAUGCAGCAUACGUUUUUUUUGUUUUGUUUGUUUCAUCCUUUGGCUAGCAUUACAAUAUAUGAUUACGCUCUUAUUUCUGCGAAUGCUUUUAAACCAUUUAAGCGCACCAAAAGAGAAAAAGAGAACGCACUGUCUGUGAAUGUCCUGUCACACACACAACGCACAGAAAGACAUGCACCAGUAUAGUGAGCAUGGACGGCCCACCAGUAUCGAGUUCUCUGUCAUGCUUGAAGAAACAAUAACACACACGAUAAUGUCAAAAAUGUCAGUUUUGUUAAAUAUCACCAAUGGAGCAGCCUUAAAUGAGUUAAAGUCCCCAUGAACCGGAAGUGCAAACGUCUUUUCUCCAGUGUUGUGACAUAUUUCCAAGCGAAACAGAAUAUUGAAUAGAGGGCAGAGUUUUAAUUUAACGCUCCUCCUCUCCGUCUCUCGCUCAUAGCAGACUGAGGGUUGGGGGGGGAGUGGUUUUAUUUUAUCAGAGAAGGAACACCAUUUCAGACCAGAAGUAACAUUUCAGAUUUUGAUUAAAGAUUACCACGACAAACAAUUUUUUUCGGUGUAUUAACUUGCACGGAUUAAUUGUUCACCACAAGACUAGUAAUAUGCACUAACAAAGUAAGUAAGGUCAAUUUUGAUUUUAUGACGUCUUGAAAUGAAGUCUUAAUUGAAAAGUAAAUGAGUUGUGAGAAAGUGGACAUCAGUAGCUGUAUUAAGACCCGGGUAUACUUCACUUUCCGCGGCCAGACGCAUCUCACGUGCAGUCUUGUCUGCGCAUCUUUCAAAGUAUACUCAACUACAGAUGUGCGUGGAUGACCGAGUUCAACACAUGCAGUACAAUUUAAUUCACGAAUCGUGCCAUCAACGGGACUUCGCUGGGUAGGAUCAGAGAAUAAAAAUAGUGCAUCCACCAUCCACCACACAGUCUUGAAAUUUGGCCUGCACACGGACGAUGUAUGCAGACGUCCGUGAGCCCUCCAGAUGACGAACAUUACGUCAUGCAGACAGUGCACGAAUGUGGCUUUAGUUUCAGUGAGACUGUCCUUAUUUCAUAAAAACAUGCCAUUAAAAAGUAUUUAAAAUAUACUCUUUAUGUUGUUUCUUUAUGUUGUUUUUAUUUUAGAGAUUAACUGUGACAUUAUUACAUAAUAAUAUGUAUUAUUAAAAACUUGACUAUAACAUUACAUUUAGAUCUAUUGCAUUAUAUUUAGAUAGUGGCAUGAAAGGUUGCAACUUUGAAUGAGCAUUGUAGCUGAUCACAGUCAUGUUGAGUGUAUGUAAGCAGUGAUCUC